GAUGAACGCUGGCGGCGUGCCUAAUACAUGCAAGUCGAGCGAACAGACGAGGAGCUUGCUCCUCUGACGUUAGCGGCGGACGGGUGAGUAACACGUGGAUAACCUACCUAUAAGACUGGGAUAACUUCGGGAAACCGGAGCUAAUACCGGAUAAUAUAUUGAACCGCAUGGUUCAAUAGUGAAAGACGGUUUUGCUGUCACUUAUAGAUGGAUCCGCGCCGCAUUAGCUAGUUGGUAAGGUAACGGCUUACCAAGGCGACGAUGCGUAGCCGACCUGAGAGCGUGAUCGGCCACACUGGAACUGAGACACGGUCCAGACUCCUACGGGAGGCAGCAGUAGGGAAUCUUCCGCAAUGGGCGAAAGCUUGACGGAGCAACGCCGCGUGAGUGAUGAAGGUCUUCGGAUCGUAAAACUCUGUUAUUAGGGAAGAACAAAUGUGUAAGUAACUAUGCACGUCUUGACGGUACCUAAUCAGAAAGCCACGGCUAACUACGUG
RNAcentral lists this ribosomal RNA (497 nucleotides) under uncultured bacterium. RNAcentral's name for it is "partial 16S ribosomal RNA". It matches the Rfam family "Bacterial small subunit ribosomal RNA", at positions 28 to 507 of the family's 1533-position model. The record is from RNAcentral.